RNAcentral lists this ribosomal RNA (393 nucleotides) under uncultured bacterium. RNAcentral's name for it is "partial 16S ribosomal RNA". It matches the Rfam family "Bacterial small subunit ribosomal RNA", at positions 523 to 918 of the family's 1533-position model. The record is from RNAcentral.
AUACGGAAGGUCCGGGCGUUAUCCGGAUUUAUUGGGUUUAAAGGGAGCGCAGGCGGGAGCUUAAGCGUGACGUGAAAUGUAGCCGCUCAACGGCUGAGUUGCGUCGCGAACUGGGUUUCUUGAGUGAGUACGACGCGGACGGAAUUCGUGGUGUAGCGGUGAAAUGCUUAGAUAUCACGAAGAACCCCGAUUGCGAAGGCAGUCCGCGAGUCCUUUACUGACGCUAAAGCUCGAAGGUGCGGGUAUCGAACAGGAUUAGAUACCCUGGUAGUCCGCACGGUAAACGAUGGAUGCCCGCUGUCGGCGACAGACUGUCGGCGGCCAAGCGAAAGCGUUAAGCAUCCCACCUGGGGAGUACGCCGGCAACGGUGAAACUCAAAUGAAUUGACGGGG